GACGAACGCUGGCGGCGUGCCUAAUACAUGCAAGUUGAGCGCUGAAGGUUGGUACUUGUACCAACUGGAUGAGCAGCGAACGGGUGAGUAACGCGUGGGGAAUCUGCCUUUGAGCGGGGGACAACAUUUGGAAACGAAUGCUAAUACCGCAUAAAAACUUUAAACACAAGUUUUAAGUUUGAAAGAUGCAAUUGCAUCACUCAAAGAUGAUCCCGCGUUGUAUUAGCUAGUUGGUGAGGUAAAGGCUCACCAAGGCGAUGAUACAUAGCCGACCUGAGAGGGUGAUCGGCCACAUUGGGACUGAGACACGGCCCAAACUCCUACGGGAGGCAGCAGUAGGGAAUCUUCGGCAAUGGACGAAAGUCUGACCGAGCAACGCCGCGUGAGUGAAGAAGGUUUUCGGAUCGUAAAACUCUGUUGGUAGAGAAGAACGUUGGUGAGAGUGGAAAGCUCAACAAGUGACGGUAACUACCCAGAAAGGGACGGCUAACUACGUG
RNAcentral lists this ribosomal RNA (497 nucleotides) under uncultured bacterium. RNAcentral describes it as "partial 16S ribosomal RNA". It matches the Rfam family "Bacterial small subunit ribosomal RNA", at positions 28 to 507 of the family's 1533-position model. The record is from RNAcentral.